UACGGAGGGGGCCAGCGUUGUUCGGAAUCAUUGGGCGUAAAGGGCGCGUAGGCGGCUGCGCAAGUCGGACGUGAAAUCCCCCGGCUCAACCGGGGAAUUGCAUCCGAAACUGCGCGGCUCGAGUCCUGGAGAGGGUAGUGGAAUUCCCAGUGUAGCGGUGAAAUGCGUAGAUACUGGGAGGAACACCGGUGGCGAAGGCGGCUACCUGGACAGGUACUGACGCUGAGGCGCGAAAGCCAGGGGAGCAAACAGG
RNAcentral lists this ribosomal RNA (253 nucleotides) under uncultured Acidobacteriota bacterium. Its description in RNAcentral is "uncultured Acidobacteria bacterium partial 16S ribosomal RNA". It matches the Rfam family "Bacterial small subunit ribosomal RNA", at positions 524 to 776 of the family's 1533-position model. The record is from RNAcentral. Lineage: Bacteria; Pseudomonadati; Acidobacteriota.